Molecule: ribosomal RNA, 454 nt
Filed under: uncultured bacterium
Lineage: Bacteria
Description: partial 16S ribosomal RNA
Rfam family: Bacterial small subunit ribosomal RNA
Source: RNAcentral
GAUGAACGCUGACAGCAUGCUUAACACAUGCAAGUCAACUUGAACUUCGGUUUGGGUGGCGGACGGGUGAGUAACGCGUAAAGAACUUGCCUCACAGAUAGGGACAACAUUUGGAAACGAAUGCUAAUACCUGAUAUUAUGAUUAUAUGGCAUCGUAUAAUUAUGAAAGCUAUAUGCGCUGUGAGAGAGCUUUGCGUCCCAUUAGCUAGUUGGAGAGGUAACGGCUCACCAAGGCGAUGAUGGGUAGCCGGCCUGAGAGGGUGAUCGGCCACAAGGGGACUGAGACACGGCCCUUACUCAUACGGGAGGCAGCAGUGGGGAAUAUUGGACAAUGGACCAAGAGUCUGAUCCAGCAAUUCUGUGUGCACGAUGAAGUUUUUCGGAAUGUAAAGUGCUUUCAGUUGGGAAGAAAAAAAUGACGGUACCAACAGAAGAAGUGACGGCUAAAUACGUG